GGUUUUAACCCAGUACCUCAAGGUACUUUGGGAGUCUGACCCACCACCUGUGAUUGUGUCAAGAACCAUAAUUUUUGGAUCGCCUUCUCGGGGUAUCCGUGAGUGCAAC
This 109-nucleotide small RNA is filed under the name Necator americanus (New World hookworm). RNAcentral's name for it is "SL2 RNA". It matches the Rfam family "SL2 RNA". Rfam says of the family: This family represents SL2 RNA. SL2 RNA is involved in trans splicing in lower eukaryotes. Lineage: Eukaryota; Metazoa; Nematoda; Chromadorea; Rhabditida; Ancylostomatidae. The record is from Rfam by way of RNAcentral.